Molecule: ribosomal RNA, 433 nt
Filed under: uncultured bacterium
Lineage: Bacteria
Description: partial 16S ribosomal RNA
Rfam family: Bacterial small subunit ribosomal RNA
Source: RNAcentral
AACGAACGCUGGCGGCAUGCCUAACGCAUGCAAGUCGAACGACACCUUCGGGUCUAGUGGCGCACGGGUGCGUAACGCGUGGGAACCUGCCCUUAGGUUCGGAAUAACUCCCCGAAAUGGGUGCUAAUACCGGAUAAUGUCUUCUGACCAAAGAUUUAUCGCCUUUGGAUGGGCCCGCGUUGGAUUAGCUAGUUGGUAGUGUAAAAGCCUACCAAGGCGACGAUCCAUAGCUGGUCUGAGAGGAUGAUCAGCCACACUGGGACUGAGACACGGCCCAGAAUCCUACGGGAGGGAGCAGAGGGGAAUAUUGGAAAAUGGGCGAAAGGCUGAACCAGCAAUGCCGGGUGAGUGAUGAAGGCCGUAGGGUUGUAAAGCUCUUUUACCCGGGAUGAUAAUGACAGUACCGGGAGAAUAAGCUCCGGCUAACUCCGUG